Long non-coding RNA from Apodemus sylvaticus (European woodmouse), 692 nucleotides. RefSeq lists it as uncharacterized. The record is from RefSeq and is a predicted model, not a curated record. The transcript has 3 exons. NCBI's taxonomy places the organism in Eukaryota, Metazoa, Chordata, Mammalia, Rodentia, Muridae.
AAAGUCGGGGUUCGGGUGCGGUCUGUCCGCCCAGGAGGCGGGAAGCAGCGGCCCGGCAACAGCUCUCCACCAUUCUUCUACCUUUGCGCAUGGAAAUCUCCAAGAAGGGAUCCAAGAAGCGGCGGGUUGAACUGGGGGCCAUCGGCCUGAAAGAAGCCGGGAAUCCGAGCCCCAGACUUCUAAGGAGGCCCUAGGUCCCUGCGCCCCACUGGCCUGGCAGGGAGCCUCCGGUAUUCCUGCUGUUUGAGGCCCGGUGGCCAGGAGCGCAGCUUCUCUCUAGCCAUUGCGAAGGCUUCCAUUUAGUCCAUUUCAUGGUCGUCUCGCCAAGAGCUCGUCAUCUACAGCUGGGAUGUGUAGAAUGUGCCUAAUAGCCAUGGCUAGUGCGUGCUCCCCAAUGGAGAAGGUCUGACAAGGACAGCUGGCUGGUUUUCAGCGUGAAAACACCCCCUCGGUGGACCAAACACAACGACACUGACCUUUCUGUGGGGGAACCAGAGAUGUGCCUUUCACUGAAUUAGCCACAAAGACGUCUUGCUAUGACUUUUGUUCAGCACGAAAGCAAAGAAAUAUUGCGUCUAAUAUGAAAAGUACUGUUCACAGCUUUUCUGUGCCCCUUAAGAAGUAUUACAGUGCUGAUUUACUGGCCCCGUUCUCCAGGGCUGGCUGGCCACAAGGCGGGGUGGAGGGGUGGG